This 2047-nucleotide long non-coding RNA is filed under the name Felis catus (domestic cat). RNAcentral's name for it is "lncRNA (ENSFCAG00000053492.1)". Lineage: Eukaryota; Metazoa; Chordata; Mammalia; Carnivora; Felidae. The record is from RNAcentral.
UUUUAAAAAUCCCAGUUCCUUAUUCCUGGAGCCUAAAUAGUUCAUCAUUUUCUUGCUGUCUUCUUGCCCUCCUGCAGUGGGUUGAACGAUGUUCUUCCCCAACCUCCCCCCCACCCCCGGCCCGCCAAAGACAUGACUACAAAUAAUUAAGGAUCUCAAGAUAAGAUCAUUCUGCAUUCUCCAAAUUGCCACUGACUCCAAUGACAAACGAGUAUCCUUAAAAGAGACAGGGGAACAGCAGAGGGGAACACGCAGAGGAGAGGGGGCCACGUGAAGACAGAGGCAAAGGUCGGAACAAGGCAGCCACGAGGCGAGGAAGGCUCGGGGCCACCGGAAGCUGGAAGAGGCAAGGAAGGGUCCUUCCCCAGAGCCUUCGGAGGGAGCGCGGCCAUGCUGACCCCUCGAUUUGGGGCCUGAAGCCUCCAGAACAGCGGGAGAAGACAUUUCUAUUGCUCCAAGCCACCAAGUUUGUGGUAAUUUGCUACAGCGGUCCUAAGAGACCCAGACACCGAUGCACAGACACGCCGCGCACACACGGUUCUGCCCCCCAAAAGAAUUGCAGAAAGAAAACUAAGUAGGGAGAAGUACCCAUAUCCUGGUACUUCAGCUUGUGAAAACCUCGCGUGCGCAGAAAAGCCCCGUCUUCCCUACCUGAGGGAGGGAUCCCUGGGAGGGAUUGAUUCUCUCCAAGUCUCUUCCUUUGCUCCCUCUCCCGGGUCAGAGAAAGGCCACUGGAUUCACUUAGCUGCUUUAAACAGUUGCCUGCUUGUUUUGCUUCCAAACUCACGUGCUCUCUCAAUCACAGGGGAGCCUGGCUGAACAAAGCCUGACAUGUCCUAGCUCUUGGGUCUGCGCCUGGAGUCGACAACCCUCACCAGGCAGGCUGCACAAAUCUCCCAGGAUGUCCCCGCAGAAUUCCCUCGGCUGCCUGGCUGUGGCCCUCCCUUCCUUCCCUCCCCUGAAGACAGCGCGGCGUGUCCGGAGGCUCCAUGGUGAGCGAAGAAUGUUCUCCAAGUGGCGUCAUACAGGCUGCCUCCGCAGCCCUGGUGGCUUCAGGAGGUCAAGGUCAAGGUGCACCCCCGCCCCAGCUCUGGAUAACCCAACUUUAAGAAAGGGUAGUCAGGGGUGUGGGGCAGCUUUGUUUACUGCCCCAAAGCGAAGUUUUCUUGAAGCCCAGGGCCCUCUCGAUGCGCUGGCCUCCAGGCCCGACCACCGUAGUGUUCCAAGGGGGACUUCAGAUCUUGGCACGCUCCGUGGGUACACCAGUUCCUGUGAACUGAGAUGUCCGUGUAGUUUGGAACGAAAGGUAACUUUUUCGGUCUGCGCAGUGGGUUUUUGCCCCUUGGUUUAGUUCUCAUUUGGUCCGGCAUCUGGUGAUACUAAGUCGGAUCAAAGACCUGAUUGUAUCAGAGUAACACAGCUUUUUUAGCCCCUUCCAUCCUUCCUUCCUUCCUUCCUUCCUUCCUUCCUUCCUUCCUUCCUUCCUCUCUCUCUUUCUCUCCCUCUCUCCCUCUCUUUCUCUUUCUUUCUCCUUCUCCCUCUCUCUUUCUUUCCGUCUUCCUUCCUUCCUCCUUCUUUCUUCCUUUCCUUCUCUUUCCUUUUUCUUUCUUUCUUUCCAUUGCUUAUGUAGCACACUCAAAGCUUAGUGACUUAAUAGACUGAAGAAAACGUCACCUCUGGCAGAGAUUGGCUACAUUUCAGUCGGGUUUUCUCUUCCCUGCACCCUGGGAGGAUGCAUUUCCCGGCCACCCUUGAGUUAGGCUGGGGCCAUAUGACUGGGUUUGGGCCAAGGGAACGUGGCUGGAAGAGAGAUGGGAGGGUUUCUAGGCCUGGCGCGAAACCCCGUGUGCAGUGGCCCACGCUCUCCUGUGACAACCUUGGAAGGACUCGGGUUUAAGGUGGUGGCAACACAAGAUGGAGAGAAAUGAGAUUCCUGAGUCACCUGUUGGAAUCAAGUCACUGUUCCGCUUCAGAUGUGACAUGAACGAAGGAUGAGCCAAUACCGUAUCGAGCCACUGAGGUUUGGGGGUUGUUUUUGUGGGGUUAU